Molecule: long non-coding RNA, 15894 nt
Organism: Triticum aestivum (bread wheat)
Lineage: Eukaryota; Viridiplantae; Streptophyta; Magnoliopsida; Poales; Poaceae
Exons: 8
Source: RefSeq, a predicted model, not a curated record
GUCUCCCUCCCACACGAAGCACUGGUCCGUCUCCGUCUCCAACACAAUCCGCCGCCGCUUUCUCCUCCCAUCGCCGUCUCACAUCCCGUCGCUUCCGCCGUCGGCCGAUUGAUGAGUGUUUCCCGUUUCUUCGUCCGCCGUCCCUCCCCGCACUCACACACGCGUACACCCAUCUUGCUCGCCUCAGCCCACGAACCCUAGACGCCACGGAGAUGGAGCAUCUCCGCCGCCUCGCCCAGUUCUUGCGCCUCAGCUCGCGGGGAUGGAGCAGGACGGCGCCACCCGUCCUCUCGCACCAUGCCCAGGACGGCGGCGCCGUGGACGGCUGGGCGCACGACGGCACGGAGCCCCCCUCCCUUUACGGCGCCCCGGCAGAGUGCCCCGAGGCCGCAGAUCCUCCUCUUUGUCGGCGCUUCCGCGGCCACGUCUCCGCUGCCGCCUCCGCGUGCGCGACCCUCAACUACGACGCGGUGGGGAGGAGGGCUGCGACGACCUUCACGCCUGCUCCGUCGACCACAACUACUGCGUCCGCAAGAAAGCCGCAUGGAUUGGGGAUAUGUACUUCGGUUUGGGUUUAAAGGGGCAAUCUUUGAGCAUUUGUAUCAACUAUCGAGGAUCUCAAGUUCACAUCGAUCGCACUAUGAUCAAGUGCAUUCCGGUGCUAUGAUGAUUGUGACAGAAGAUGUUAGCUGCAGAAGCAAUCGCUGUCUCAGCUCCAAUAUUAAAAAUCAAUGCACCUGAAUUGUGACACAGUUUUUCUCAUUUGGAACUGCGGUUAUAAGGUGUUUAAUCUGAAAGCUACGCUUUCAUGAAAUCAUCAGGAUUUUGACCUCCAUACGAAAUCUGCAAGGGUAACAACAACAAAGGAAACUGGUGUAAGAUUGAGUACUAAGACUCGAAGAUGAGCUACCAUCAAGAUUAUGUCUCGACAAUCAAGUAUAGUCGUUCAACCUAAUGGACAUCGAGGGAACCACUUUGAGUAGGCAAUUGUUUGUGUGGAAAAUGCAUGGUACUAAAGCUAACCUUCCUCUGGUCUAGAUGAAAUCAAGGCAACUGGGUCUUCUAUCUUCAAACAUCUAUUUGUUAGUUUUUCCUGGCUUCAGUGCAUUCCAUCAUAUUACUGUGUUUAAACAUAAUUGCAAUGUGCUAAUUAUUUUCUAAAAAAUUUACAGUGUAUUAAUUAAGUAAAACUUAUUUGAAGUAGAUGUAGCACGACCUUGGAUUUUGCACACGAACCUCACCAAUUUCGAGUAGUCGUACUUCUACAUAUCUGCUCACCAAAUAUCUGCAUGAUUAUUAUGAACGUGGUAAACUCUGAAGCUAUUUUCUUUAUUAGUCCUAAAAGAAACUAAACUAUUUGUGUGGGACCAGAGAAGCGUACUUUCAAUACAAACUGCAAUUGCUUGGGCAAGAGAAAUCAACUCAAUACUGCAAUUUUCCAUAUGAAGUAGUAAGAGGAGGUGUACAAUUGUAAACUGAUUUAGGCUGAAGGCUAGCUGCAUUUUGGCAUGUGGUCAAACCCGGCAAGCUGCAACUAUGUGGAGCAUCCACACUACUGCCACCACAUGCUUGCUAAAAGGCUUAAUCUAACCGUCCCUGUAGUCCACAUCUUCGGCGAGCAUGUUUGAUGGCAAGCUCGGGCAACUAUUGUUCUGUUGAGUAUCCAGAUGAUAACCAUCAUGAAAAUCACUACAUGGAUCGAUGUUCCCAUCAUGUCUGGUAGUAGAUGAUGCAUUAUUUUGAGCUUGAUAGAGUAUGACUAUAUCCCACGCGGUCUUGUUUGCAUCAAAAGUGUGGCCCACUUUGGAGACACACCAACCAUUUUGGUAGUGGGCAUCUUAACAGUUUUAUUUGGCCUCAUUCCCCUAAUACGCUAGUAAUUGUCUCCUUUCUUGUAUUUCUCUUAGUCUCACUCCCAUACACUUCAUGAUCUGAGAAAGGGAAUGCUAGCAGCCAUGGUGGCAGUGUCCCCUCCCAAGAAAAAAAGUAGGUACAGCUAGUCCUAUAGUCAGCCAUCGCACUGUAAAAAUAGGAUAGGUUCGAUCUAUGGUAAUUGAGGGCCUCCUAAAAGGAUCUACUAAAUUCAUCGAGUUGUUCUAAAGAAUAAAAACGAUCGGUUGUUCAUGCAACUUGAGAGGAUGAAGGAUCUAGCGAUGUUGCGCGAAAGGCAUCGGCGCCAGUGAGUUUGCCACCAUCCUAGCGACGACGACAAUGAGGCAAAGCAUAUAGUGGAGGGCAGAGCAAGACGGCUGAGGGAGAUGGCUCAUUAGAAGAAUUCACAACACGCAAACGACCAAUGUAGUAGAGAAGAGGAUGAGGGGGAAUCACUGGGGACAAGCUAGGUGAGGUAGUCUCAGGAAAUGAAUGAGGCGGGAAAGCCGCAGGUGAUGAUGAGCUUGAUAAAGAAGCGAUUAGAGGUAGAAGACACCUCAAUCCCUAGGAAGUAGCAAAGAGGACCAAGAUCAGACAUAAGAAACCCACUAUGAUGAGCCUUCAUAAAGGCAAUGUACUUAGAGUCAUCGCAGUGAUGAUCGACAUAUAGAAGGAGAAUUUGACCACGAAUUGAAAGGUGGACAAGAAGUGUAGGAUCAUGAGCACUUGCCGAAAACUUGCCGCAAUCACCACUGAGACAAAAUGCUCAAAGUAGGCACGAGGGGUUUGCUUAAGGCCAUAAAAGAGCGAUGAAGACGACAAACCAUGCCAUCAGGAAGAGAAUACCCAGGUGGUGGGUAUAUGUAGACCUCAUGCAGCAGGGAGGAAGAGAAAUGAUAUCCCACAUGCCUAUGUGCGCAAGAGCAACAAUCUCGUCUACAAUCGCAUGCUGCUAUUCAUGAUGAACAAAUGCGUCAUACUAAGAAGUUGUCCCGAGAAAAGCGACGCUAGAAUAACCAAUAACCAUAGGGCCAACAGGCAGAAGCGAGCGAGCUCGGAAACCAUAAGUAGGCCGAGCUUUAGGUAGUGCAUUGCCAACAGGAAAGGCCAUAGUAGUCCAGGGAGAUGGCUCAUUAGAAGGAUCCACAACACGUGGACCACAAGUGUAAUGAAGAAGAUGAAAAGGGGGAAUCAUCGGGGAAACCUCAUGGAUGAGCGAGGUGAGGUAGGCUCAGGUAAUGAACGAGGUGGGGAAGCCGCAUGUGGCGACGUGUGGGGUCUAUAACAGUAGUACAGGAGGAUAAGCUGGGAUAGGUGGGCGAGGGCAAUAAAUGAGUGAUAAGUGUAUCAGGAAAAGUGAGGGAAGAAAUAUCGUCAAUGGGGGAGGCCGAAGGAGAGGAUGGACUCGGAUAGAAAGGACGAGACUCAAUCAAAAGUCACAUAUGAAGAAAUGCCCAUCCGACGACUAACAAGAUCCCAACACCGAUAGCCCUUGUGCUUAUCACUGUAAUCUAAGAAGACACAUUCAACAGACUGAUCAAAUAGUUUGGUGCGUGAAGAACGUAGCAAACACAACCAAACAAAUGAAGUGUUGAGUAGUUAGGAGAGAAUGCUCACAAAGACACUCGAGAGGAAUGUCGCCCUGUAGAGCUGAGGAAGGAUGAAUGUUGAUGAUAUAGGUGGCUAUGGUCAUCAACGCGCUAGCCGCCUCACGAAGGUGACGAUGCUUGCGCUCAACAACCCCAUUCUAAGCAUGAGCACCAGGACAAGAGAACUGAGCAAGUGUGCUUUGCUCAACAAGGAAUCCCCGCAACCAAUGAGAGAUACACACAAGCAUAAUCUGCACGAAAGACAUGGAUAGUAGUGGAAAAUUGGGUAUGAACCAAGGCGGCAAACAUCUUAUAGAUAGAUAAGACCUCACUACAAGAAGGCAUAAAAUAUAUCGACUUGUGUUGAGAGAAAUAAUUGUAAAGAUAAUAUAGUGGCGAUGGCCUCCUUUCGAGGCGAAGAGAGCUGGGUCCCAAAUAUUAGAGUGAACAAGAUUGAAAGGACACCGAGACACAAUCUCGCUAUGAGGAUACGGUAACUAAACGUGUUUACCUAGCAGACAAACUUGUCCUUCUAAAGUUACAUUGCGAGACAGAUCCUAGAAUACCACAUCGUUCUAAGGAUGAGAGAUUAGAGCCACACAUGUGACUGAGACGAUGACGCCACAAAGAGUCGGUAGACAAGGUAAGAGAGUCGAAGAGACUGGCGGAUGUGGUAGCGGAGGGAAGGCGUAGCCUGGCAAGCUUCAGUGGCCGUGUGAGUCACAGCGUCGAGGGCCAACACCAAGUAGAGCAGCCGUGUGCCGAUCCUAAAUUAGAACAAGAGUUAAAGUCAAGAAUAUUGGAGUAAGAGAAAUAUUGUUUGUGUCAGGUUCAAUGAUACAUUUGCUUGGAUUCCAGGACAGAGUUAAAGUUGAGAUUGGGCACUUGGAUUUGUGACAUUUUGACAUGAGCUUGAAACUGGAGAACUUUAGGGUGUAGCAUGAUGAACCUGAGAUAUAUUGAAUUUAUAUAGGUAUACUAUGAUUAGCAUGAAUGCGGUAUUUGUGGACUAUUAGAUCAUCUUGGAUAUUACUAGUUGGAUUCUAGGUUAGAGAUAACUUGAGCAGUUGGAUUUGUGAUAUUUUGACCUAAGCUUAGUAGCUUGCAUGCAGAUGAUACGAUCGUAGUUGGUAGACCGUGAUGAUUUUGCUAACCCUCCCCAAGAAUGUUACCAGUACAAGAUCAUCAUGGGAGGAUGAUUUGGAUUAAUUAGAAUAGAUGACAAUUUCAGUGGUAUGAGCCUUGUUGGAGCAGCUGAUGUUGCUUUUAUUAUGUUUUUGUGCUCCUUUAGAUGCAGUAGUAGAAGGGUAGGACUUAUGAAGUGAUACUAUAUUGGUGGAUAAAUAGAUCUUUAAUAACCUUGAAACUGGAGAACUUUAGGGCAGGACCUAUGAAGUUUGGAUUUACUUACAUGACUGUGAUCUCUUGAAAAAAAUUUGGUGGAUAGAUAACUUCUAAUUUUUUGGAUCUAUAGUCAUCCAGUGGAAGCUUGCUUCAUACUGGACUUAGAUAACCAUGAUAAUAGGCUUGGUUGAAUCAUAGUUAUGAUUUGUACUAGAUGCACACUUUUAGAGAUUGAAACUAGAGAAAUAUAGGGUGUAGUAUGAUCAAUCGGAGAUAUAUUGGAUUUAAUAUGAAUAUAAUAUGAUCAGCAUGAUUCUAAAAAUUGAUGGAGGAAAACAAAGAUAUUGGAGUAAUAGAAAUGUUGUUUGUGUUAGGUUCAAUGAUAUAUCUGCUUGGAUUCUAGUUCUAGGUCGGAUUUAAACUUGAGAUUGGGCACUUGGAUUUGUAAUAUUUUGACACGAGCUUUAAAACUGGAGAACUUCAGGGUGUAGCUUGAUCAACCUGAGAUGUAUUGAAUUUAUAUAGGUAUAGUAUGAUUAGCAUGAAUGCAGUAUUGAUGGACUAUUGUAUGAUCUUGGAUAUUACUAGUUGGAUUUUAGGUUGGAGAUAACAUGAGCACCUGGAUUUGUGAUAUUUUGACCUAAGCUUAGUAGCUUGUAUGCGCCCCAUAUGGAUAUGAGCAUGGAGAGGAUACAAACGGAUUGUAGUUUGCAGACUUUGAUGAUUUUGCUAGCCCUCCCCAAGAAUGUUACGAGUACAAGAUCAUCAUUGGAGGAUGAUUUGGAUUAAUUAGAAUAGAUGAUAAUUUUAGUCGUAUGAGCCUUGUUGGAGCAGCUGAUCUUACUUUUAUUAUGUGUUUGUGCUCCUUUAGAUGCAGUAGGAGGCUAGUAGUUAUGACGUGAUAUUAUAUUGGUGGAUAAGUACAUCUUUAACAACGUUGGAACAAUUUGGAUUUACUUAGAUGAUUGUGAUCUUGAAAACAAAUCUGGUGGGUAAAUAACUUCUAAUAUUUGGAUCUAUAGUAAUCCAGUGGAGGCGAAGGAAGUUGGAGAGGGCCGAUGAGAAAGCACAUGAGAAGCUUUACUCGAUCUCCUGAAGAUCGACAUUGCCGCACGGCUUGGCGCAAAGCCGGUGCGGCUGAUAGGGUUUUCACCCUCUCCCACACCUCAUGUGCAUUGUUCAUUCCCGCCAAUUCGGCUUGGUGUCCUUCCCUUGUUUGCGAGUUCCGUGCCAAUGACUUGAUCUGGCAUCACACGUUCUCCCGCCGUGCGUCCUUGGUCUUGGCGGUAGGUAACGUCGUGCUCUCGGGCUGUGUCUCGUGGGUUAGCCAUUGCGGUGCCGAUUGCCUGUGUGGCUAUGGCGGCGCCCAUCAGGGAAACAUGGGAUGUGGGAUUGAGGCAUCGCACAUAGUAACCCGAAGCCAGGCAAAGGAUGCCGGUCGGACUGGCAGGGAGCGGAUUGCACUUGAGGUAUGGUGGAAGGGUGAAAACAUUGGUGGGAGCGAACUGUCAUUGCCGUUAUUCAUUAUACUUGUAGCCAAGCGUCGAGGGCAUGACAAUUGUGGAAGGUGGGAAGAUGGUUGGAUCAUAGUUAUGAUUACUACUAGAUUCACAUCGUUUGAGAUUGAAACUGGAUAACUUUAGUGUGUAGUAUGAUCUAUCGGGGAUAUAUUGGAUUUAUGUGUAAUAUGAUCCACAUGAUUGUGAAAAUUGAUGGACUACUACAUUAUCUUGGAUUGAACUAGUAGGAAAAAAACAAAGAUAUUGGAGUAAUAGAAAUGUUGUUUGUGUUAGAUUCAAAUGUUUAAUGAUAUAUGUGUUUGGAUUCUAGGUCGGAGUUAAACUUGAGAUAGGGCACUUGGAUUUGUGAUAUUUUGACAGCUUGAAACUGGAGAACUUUAGGGUGUAGCAUGAUCAACCUGAGAUGUAUUGGAUUUAUAUAGGUAUAGUAUGAUUAGCAUGAAUGCGGUGUUGCUGGACUAUUGGAUGAUCUUGGAUAUUACUAGUUGGAUUCUAGGUUGGAGAUAACUUGAGCACUUGGAUUUGUGAUAUUUUGGCCUAAGCUUAGUAGCUUGUAUGUGUUCCAUAUGGAUAUGAGCAUGGAGAUGAUACAAAUGGAUAGUAGUUGGUAGACUUUGAUAAUUUUGCUAGCCCUCCCCAAGAAUGUUACCAGUACAAGAUUAUCAUGGGAUGAUGAUUUGGAGAUGACAAUUUCAGUGGUAUGAGCCUUGUUGGAGCACCUGAUCUUGCUUUUAUUAUGUGUUUGUGCUCCUUUAGAUGCAGUAGUGGGAGGAGAGUAGUACUUAUGAAGUGAUAUUAUAUUGGUGGAUAAAUAGAUCUUUAAUAACCUUGGAAUAAUUUGGAUUUACUUAGUUGAUUGUGAUCUUGAAAGAAAAUCUGAUGGAUAAGUAAAUUCUAGUUUUUUGAUCUAUAGUGAUCAAGUGAAAGCUUGCUUUAUACUGGAUGAUAACCAUGAUAGUGGUUAUAGUUAUGAUUUGUACUAGAUGCACACCUUUAGAGAUUGAACUGGAGAACUUUAGGGUCUAGUAUAUGACCAAUCGGACAUAUAUUGGAUUUAUAUGUGUAUUAUGAUUAGCAGGAUUGUGAAAAUUGAUGGACUAUUACAUCAUCUUGGAUUGAAUUAGUAGGUAAAAAACAAAGAUAUUGGUGUAAUAGAAAUGUUUGUGGAAUGUUCAAUGAUAUAUUUGCUUGGAUUCUAGGUCGGAGUUAAACUUGAGAUCGGGCACUUGGAUGAUGUUUUGACAUGAGCUUGAAGCUAGAGAAUUUUAGGGUGUAGCAUGAUCAACUUGAGAUGUAUUGAAUUUAUAUAGGUAUGGUAUGAUUAGCAUGAAUGCGCUAUUGGUGGACUAUUAGAUCAUCUUUGAUAUUACUAGUUGGAUUCUAGGUUAGAGAUACUUGAGCACUUGGAUUUGUCAUAUUUUGACCUGCUUAGUAGCUUGUAUGUGCCCCAUAUGGAUAUGAGCAUGGAGAUGAUACAAAUAGAUCGUAGUUGGUAAACUUUGAUGAUUUUGCUAGCCCUCCCCAAGAAUGUUACCAGUACAAGAUCAUGGGAGGAUGAUUUGGAUUAAUUAGAAUAUAUGACAAUUUCAGUGUAUGAGCCUUGUUGGAGCAGCUGAUCUUGCUUUUAUUAUGUGUUUGUGGUCCUUUAGAUGCAGUAGUAGGAGGAGGGUAGUACUUAUGAAGUGAUAUUAUAUUGGUGGAUAAAUAGAUCUUUGAUAACUUUGGAACCGUUUGGAUUUACAUAAGAUGAUUGUGAUCUUGAAAAAAAUCUGGUGGAUAAAUAACUUCUAAUUUUUGAAUAUAUAGUCAUCCAGUGGAAGCUUGCUUUAUAUUGGACUUAGAUAACCAUGAUAGUGGGCUUGGUUGGAUCAUAGUUAUGAUUUGUACUAGAUGCACACCUUUAGAGAUUGAAACUAGAGAACUUUAGGGUGUAAUAUGAAUAUGAUCAAUCGGAUAUAUAUUGGAUUUAUAUGAAUAUAAUAUGAUCAAUAUGAUUGUGAAAAUUGAUGGAAGAAAACAAAGAUAUUGGAGUAACAGAAAUGUUGUUUGUGUUAGGUUCAAUGAUGUAUCUGCUUGGAUUCUAGGUCGGAGUUAAACUUGAGAUUGGGCACUAAAUCUGGUGGAUAAAUAACUUCUAAUACUUGGAUCUAUAGUAAUCCAGUGGAGGCUGAGGUAGUUGCAGAGGAGCGAUGAGAAAGCACAUGAGAAGCUUUGCUCGAUCUCCUGAAGAUUGACAUUGCCGCACGGCUUGGCGUAAAGCCGGUGCGGCUGAUAGGGUUUUCACCGUCUCCCACACCUCAUGUGCAUUGUUCAUUCCCGCCAAUUCGGCUUGGUGUCCUUCCCUUGUUUGCGAGUUCCGUGCCAAUGACUUGAUCUGGCAUCACACGUUCUCCUGCCGUGCGUCCUUGGUCUUGGCGGUAGGUAACGUCGUGCUCUCGGGCUGUGUCUCGUGGGUUAGCCAUUGCGGUGCCGACUGCCUGUGUGGCUAUGGCGGCGCCCAGUAGGGAAACACGAGAUGUGGGAUUGAGGCAUCGCACAUAGUAACCCGAAGCUAGGCAAAGGAUGCCGGUCGGACUGGCAGGGAGCGGAUUGCACAUGAGGUAUGGCGAAAGGGAUGAAAACAUUGUUGGGAGUGGACUGUACUUGGAGCCAAGCGUCGAGGGGAUGGCGAUUGGGUAAGGCGGGAAGAUGGUUGGAUCAUAGUUAUAUUACUACUAGAUUCACACCUUUAGAGAUUGAAACUUGCGAACUUUAGGGUGUAGCAUGAUCAACCUGAGAUGUAUUAGAUUUAUAUGUGUAAUAUGAUUGACAUGCAUGCGGUAUUGGUGGACUAUUGGAUGGUCUUGGAUAUUACUAGUUGGAUUGUAGGUUGGAGAUAACUUGAGCACUUGGAUUUGUGAUAUUUUGACCUAAGCUUAGUACCUUGUAUGUGCCCCAUAUGGAUAUGAGCAUGGAGAUGAUGCAAACAGAUCGUAGUUGGUAGACUUUGAUGGUUUUGCUAGCCCUCCCCAAAAAUGUUAUGAGUACAAGAUCAUUGGAGGAUGAUUUGGAUUAAUUAGAAUAGAAUUUCAGUGGUAUGAGCCUUGUUGGAGUAGCUGAUCUUGCCUUUAUUAUUUGUUUGCGCUCCUUUAGAUGCAGUAGUAGGAGGAGGGUAGUACUUAUGAAGUGAUAUUAUAUUGGUGGAUAAAUAGAUCUUUAAUAACCUUGGAAUAGUUUUUAGUUAGGUGAUUGUGAUCUUGAAAAAAUCUCGUAGAUAAAUAAGUUCUAAUUUUUGGAUCUAUAGUCAUCUAGUGGAAGCUUGCUUUAUAUUGGACUUGAAUAACCAUGAUAGUGAACUUGGUUGGAUCAUAGUUAUGAUUUGUACUAGAUGCACACCUUUAGAGAUUGGAACUUGAGACCUUUAGAGGUUGGAUCAUAGUUAGAGAUGCACACCUUUAGAGAUUGGAAAUAUAUUGGAUUUAUAUGAGUAUAAUAUGAAUUGUGAAAAUUGAUGGACUAUUACAUCAUCUUGGAUUGAAAUAGUGGAAAGAAAACAAAGAUAUUGGAGUAAUAGAAAUGUUGUUUGUGUUAGGUUCAGUGAUAUAUCUGCUUGGAUUCUAGGUCGGAGUUAAACUUGAGAUUGGACACUUGGAUUUCUGAUAUUUUCGCAUGAGCUUGAAACUGGAGAACUUUAGGGUGUAGCAUGAUCAACCUGAGAUAUAUUGGAUUUAUAUAGGUAUAGUGUAUGAUUAGCGGACUAUUGGAUCAUCUUGGAUAUUAAGUUGGUUAUAGGUUGGAGAUAACUUGAGCACUUGGAUUUGUGAUAUUUUAACCUAAGCUUAGUAGCUUGUAUGUGCCCCAUAUGGACAUGAGCAUGAAGAUGAUACAAAUGGAUUGUAGUUGGUUGACUUUGAUGAUUUUGCUAUCUCUACCCAAGAAUGUUACGAGUACAAGACCAUCAUGGGAGGAUGAUUUGGAUUAAUUAGAAUAGAUGACAAUUUCAGUGGUAUGAGCCUUGUUGAAGCUGACCUUGCUUUUAUUAUGUGUUUGUGCUUCUUUAGAUACAGUAUUUGGAGGGUAUCACUUAUGAAGUGAUUUUAUAUUGGUGAAUAAAUAGAUUUUUAGUAACCUUGGAACAAUUUGGAUUUACUUGUGUGAUUGUGCACAGCGGUGGAUACUUCUAAGUUUUGGAUCUAUAGUAAUCCAAUGGAAACUUGCUUUGAAUUAGAUAACGAUGAUAGUGGGCUUGGUUGGAUCAUCGAACAUAUAAAGGAUGAGCGGGGUGCUAGGCACAACCGCUGUGUCCACGUAGGCUAUGAAUAGUGCCGGCGAAGCGAGCGUUGCGUUCCGCGCGAGUAGAGAAGUGAGCAAGAGAAAAAGAAAAAGCGAGCGAGCAGCUGUAGCGAGAGACCUAACCCGUCUCCCCCGCAACCCCCGCCUUCUCUCCUGCCGCCGCCGCGCCCCGUUCUUCCCUUCUCCAUGCUCGCCGCUGCCGGCAUAGCGUCCGCCGCUCCCCCGCCUCGAGCCAGACAUCGCCAUGGAGCCUCCGCUCCCCCGCCUCGAGCCAGACAUCGCCAUGGAGCCUCCGCUCCCCCGCCUCGAGCCACCCCGCGCCUCGUCUGCCUCCUCUCCUCCCUCUCCCUCGUCUCCUCUCCCGCACCGCCAGCCCCUUCUCUCUCCUCCCCCGCGCAAGCCAGCCCCGGAUCUGAAGGAAGAGGAGAGAUGCGGGAUUUGGAGGAGGAAGAGGAGAUCCGGGCCUCCCGGCGGUGGCUCGACCGAUGCAAGGUGAUGACAAGUUGCCUCUUCCUGCGCACCUUCUCCCUCGCCGCCGCCACGGCCUCUCCCACCGCUCAUCUCCACCUCCCGCUUUCCCUGUGGCUCACAUCCCUCUCAGUGUCACCACUCCUUGUCUCCUAGGUUCUCGAUCUGGAGCGGGAGGGACAGACGAGGCUACAAGCGCCAGCAUGAUUGUCCACAGCACCGUCGCCGUCGUCCUCGGCAGUGGUAGGGCGGGUCGCCAAGAAAGCCGGCUCCGUCUUGCUCUCGCGCCACUGUCCAUCCACCCGAGAAGCCCGUCCACACACCUGUCAUUCACGCCCCUCCUCCUCGGCUCGUUCUCAUCUCUGUCAGGCAGAUGAGCUCCUGCUUCCUCUCUGUCUCCCUUUGAUUUUGUGCUUGUGCUGUACUGUGUGUUUGUGCAGUUGCUUUGUGAGCUACAGCUACUACUUGUGCUGCUAGUGUGUCCUGGUUCUGGUGCUGCUAGCUGCUGCUGGUUGCUUGUGUUGCUGGUUGCUUCUUUAUUUGGUUAAUUGUGACACUGAAAAGCCUUUGUGAAAAGCAAAAAUUGAUGAGAAGGCUAUGAGCUGAUGAGAUGACCUUCAUUUUCAAUUUUUUAUUUAAUAAUUGAUGAAGGAUAUGUCAUAUAUUCAGUUGUUAACAUUUUCUCUAUGGUGUAUGUACCUAUUGUUCAUUGUAUUCGAGGGAGAGGACAACAAGAGUAAGAGAGCCUUGGGACGCGAAGGCAGUAGCAUGCAGCGCCAGGUCAAGCGCACCGACCUCGACGACCAGAGACCAGUACACUUAACAAGAGUAAGAGAGCCUUGGGACAACACUGGAUGAGGGCGUCGACUAAAGGAGCGCGAAGACGUCUUCCUCCAAAAUCUUGCCAAGGAUUUUGUUGCAACGACACAGUGCUGACAAUUUUUGUUUUUGGAAUUUGUCAAUGAAAUUCUGCUCGAUCAGGGUUCUUAAAUAUUUGUUCACCCAGAUGAACCGCUUAUUUUAUGUGCAUACUGGAUAUUUGUCAUAUAUGUAGAAGGUUCUACAAUAUAUCAAAGAAAAACAAAACAGAGAGGAUGCUGGGGCUCGGGCAAGGGAGGCUGCGCUCAGUGCAGUACUGCGGUCUUUUACUGCCCUUCACUGUUAAUUAAAUAUAUAUCCUCUUCAUAGUUCAUACAGUUUUAGGAUUUUAGCAGUAUGAAAAGUCACAGAUAAUGUGAUGGUGACAUUUGGGCUUAUACAAGUGUUAGUUGUCAGUCUUCUGCCCGCUUGCAUUUGAACGUUGCCUUGGGCACGAUCCUUAAGCUUGUCAAAAGUUGUGGAUCGAUAGGCAUUGACAAAAAAAUAUAAGCUCUGUGUUCUGAAAUACAGGUAGAGCAGCAGCUAUAGCACCCCUAGAGAGAUUGCGUUGAUUGAUUCUCAUCGUAUAUAUAACUCAACUAUUUAAAGUAUUCUAUAUACACUGAAAUCGUGCUCAUAAUUUUUUAAAGUAUUCUAUAUGCACUGAAAUCGAGCUCAUAAUUUUUUUAUCAUGUACCUUUUCUGCUAAAGAUCAUUACACUUCUUCAGUACAUCAAUGUUGCUUCCAAAGCAGAGCCCCUCCUAGAGGACAGUUUCUUUUAUCAGAAGGGUGAGUGUGUUGUAUAUUUUUCUGUCCACUAAAUCAAUACUUCUGGUUACAUAUUGUGACAGAAUUAAGUAGGCAUAGGCUUGUUCGUUGAUUCUUGUACCGAAACUGAAUUGGUAUUGUGUUAAUACAUUAUAGUCAUCCUUGAAGGACAUGUGUUUUAUUGCCAUGCAUGCUUAAUAAUUGCUUGCUGAAGCAUUGGUCCUAAUUUACCACGGGUUUUGCCGGCGUUGCGUUUUCUUUUUGUAUAUGGUUGCUGCAGUGGCCAUUGAAUAGUGAUUCUAUCCAUUAGUAGUAUCUUGUCAUUAUGAAAGUUUGUGUAUUUUUUGUACAUAUGAAGGUUUGUGUAUUUUGUUCUCAGCUGCGUUGCUACAUAUAAAUUUGAGGCAAAUGAUGAUACGGUUCAGACUCACACUUUUCUGAUUUUAUCUUGUCAUUAUGAAGGUUUGUGUAUUUGUUUUUGUGCUGCAUAUAAAUUUGAGGAGAAUGAUUUUAUGGUUCAAAGAGACAGUUUAAUCAUAUUUGAGCUGCCAGCUUGCUUCAGCCAUGUGAUACCGGAGCCCGAGGUUGACAGUGGCCAAAUGACUGAACUUGUUCGCAACAUUAAUAGUAGUACUCUUGAUAAACAUAGCAUUCCUGACCUUUUUGUACCGUUCGCCUGUUUGCAUGUUUAUAACAGGGGAAUUAGUCCAAGUGUUAUUGGUUCACUUGCUACAGGUGGAAUAUAUCUUUGGUGUUAUUGAAUCUUUAACCAAGACAUGGCUGGAAGCUGGAGCACACUAAUCCUGAUCGAAUUUGUCAUCUCACUUUAUAGGUGGAGUAAUUGGUGAGAUUUUUUCGGUCUCUUGUAUUUUACUUUCCAGAAAAUCUGCAUGAUGGUACUCAAAAUUUAUGAAUGGUUUUAUUGGCAUGUCAUGGUGUGGAUCGAGAUGAUGUUCAGUAGACUCCCUCAUCACCUUGCCAGUGCUAUUGAUCGCUCACAGCUUGAAUCUGAAUGUGCUUCUUCCAGUCUAUGCUCCCUCUCUUUGGUUCAUUGGCCUCCCAAGACUACUUUGGUAUGAAAGAGUGAUCUUCAUAACAUACACAGUCAAAUUUGUUUUUCUCACAAGCUGGAUCGUCGCAUAACUUAUUGGUGGUUGCACUAGCUGAGCUUUGUUAUAAGUUCUGGUGCGCAUUGUAUAUCAUAGAUAAAGUGUAUGUAAUCUUCUUGGUGAGUAGGUUUUAGAAUGAUAUAAAUUUUAAAUAAUUGAGCUAGCAUUAUAGUGCUUCAGGUUUUUUCUUUCAAUCAAUUAACUUUUAACUGCUCACUAAUUGGUGCCCAUGCAUGUUCUGUUUUAUUUUUCUCACUUCAUUAAACAUAUAAGUUUCUGGAGUGAUCUUCAUAACAUACAGUCAAAUUUGUUUUUCUCACAAGCUGGAUCAUCGCAUAACUUAUUGGUGGUUGCACUAGCUGAACUUUGUUAUAAGUUCUGGUGCGCAUUGUAUAUCAUAGAUACAGUGUAUGUAAUCUCUUGGUGAGUAGGUUUUAGAAUGAUAUAAAUUUUAAAUAAUUGAAGCUAGCAUUAUAAUGCUUCAGGUUUUUUCUUUCAAUCAAUUAACUUUUAACUGCUCACUAAUUGGUGCCCAUGCAUGUUCUGUUACAAUUGAAGGUAAUUUACAAGAAAUGGUAGAUGUUUUAGUUUUAGGAAAUAUAUCAAAAUAAAAUCUGUGGUCAAUCUAGAUUGUACUAAUAUAUAUGUUUUUAAGAGACUGUUCUGUAUUUAUUUCCUAGCAGGAAUUCCAUACCAUUUCAUGGCCAUUGAAACUUGCCUAUUAACCACGAGAAACCACUUUAGCUCUCUCUGUACGUUGAUCAUUGUAGUGCAGUGUUUGAUAUGUUGCCAAUAGCCUUUCCCUUGGCUCUUCCUCUCUAUUUAGUUAUUCCUCGAAUCAAGUGCAUAGUUAUUUUGCCUAUUGCAGGUUUUGUUAUCGUUAUAAUUACUCACUUUGUUCUAGGAUAUAAAGGCAUAUUAGUUAUUCCUUUAGCAUGCCUAUAAUGUUCUAAACUUUGAAAUCAUAUGGGAUAAAGAUCACGUCUCUUUUUAUUUUGACAUGGCCACCUUUAUCGUUAUACAGUAUUUUUUAUGAAAAACAUUGCAGAUAUUAUUUACAGAUGCAAAUUUGUAUCAGGACUUGAAAAUUUGUAGUCAAUGCAUGUUCUCUUAUAUACUCUGUCAUGGUGUACUUCAUUUUAAGCUUCAGAACUAGGAGAUUGGUUUAGAGGUUAUGUGCCUUUGUUUUGUAGUAAGUUGUAGAUGUCAAUGUCAGUUCUUCUGCUGCAAAGUUGGGGAAAGAAUUGCAGUGCAAUCAAGUUUCGUCCGAGCACACAACAUCAGCGACGUGACGAUGAAGCAAUGACAUUGUCUGGCUAUUCAUACAAUUCUAUAGAAGAUGCAAUGGACGUUGCAGCUGCUCGAGUAAUGAAAUAUAUGGAGACCAUGCGUGCCAAGGUAUUGAAAGACUAUAGUUACAACGAGUUGCAACAAACAAAGGAAAGAGAACUGCAUCUGAUUGGUUUGUUAGGACAAAGAAAAAGAAAUCAAAGAACAGGCUCUGAAGAUUAGAGAACUUAGCAAAGACUUUGCAGACUACUUAUAUCAGGUUAAAAGCACUUCUUCUGAGAUUCACCGCCCAGCUAAAGGAAGUGUAUGCUCAGCCAAUUCCAUAAGUGGUUGCGAGCUCCACAAAGCGGCUAUAGAUAUUCAUAAUGCAAUUGCUCAUCUUGGCCAGUUGAGUGAAAACUCUAUGCAGGUAAUCCAAAACACAUCGGUAUAUCCACUUAGGAGAGGAUCUACUUCCACAGCCUAUGUGCCUUCAGAAGAUGCCGAUACUACCAGCUACAGCAGCCUUCUUUGAAUAUCAAGUGAUUACCUUUGUCUAGAGAAGAUCACUGCCAUAUAUAGUUCAUCUGCCAGUCUUUCCAGAGCUUCUAUCCUGUUGAUGGACUUUGAACUUAAGCUAUCCCCAGCUAUGUAUGUUAGUUGCGGCAAUCGCAUGUAUAUAGAUUAAACCAUCAGCUACGUUCUAUGUUGCGUGGCAAUGCCAGUAGUCUCUCAAUAUAACAUGCAGCAGCUUAUUAUGUAUUUCCUACGAACAUAUGUUCAUUAUUAAUAAACCUACCAUGCAUUGUAAUAUAUAACACUAU